RNAcentral lists this long non-coding RNA (1152 nucleotides) under Drosophila guanche. Lineage: Eukaryota; Metazoa; Arthropoda; Insecta; Diptera; Drosophilidae. The record is from RNAcentral.
CGGCAAACAACUCUUUUUGAGUUCAAAAUGUUCAGUAACAUUUUUUUUCUAAUAUUCAACAUAUUCAACAACAAACAAAGCAAAACAAAAAAAAACGAAAAGGGACGUGUGAGACGCUUCUUACGCGUCACAACUUUUAUAUCCGGCACUCAGUACUACAUCUGCACCUUAGCGUUUAUUUGUCAAAUUUUACAUUUUUUCUUCAUCUGUCAUCUUCUUCUUUAGCUCGCCACCCUCCCCUAUAGCCACACAGCAGAGGCAGAGACGUAUCUGCUCGAUGCAGAUUGUGAAUGAAAAACAAAUAUAAUAUAGCCACUGCAAAUUAAUUGCUUCAUUGUGUCCAUAAUAAUGAUCCAAUCGGAUCCCAAUUUGGUGAUUUGAUACCCUACGAAAUGGCGUUUUUAGAUUUCUUUUAUCUUCAAAACUGUAGGUUUGGGAUGUUUUCGCCCUUUUGCGGGGGCGGAAGGGGGCGUGGCUCAUUUUUGAAAUACACUGUUUUCAGUGUGAGCAUACAGCAGUCUGGAUGCAAAAUUUGGUGGCUCUAGCUCUUAUAGUCUCUGAGAACUAGCCGACGAACAAGACGAACAGACGGACAGACCCGGCUGUUGAUACUGAUCAAGAAUAUUUAUACCUUCUGGGGUCGGAAAAGUUUUCUUCUGUGCGUUACAUUCAACCGUUAUUCCCAACAAAUACAAUACUCUGCGAGUCCGGGUAUAAAAAAGUAAAUGUUGUAUUUAAUGACAAACUAACAAAAAAUAUUCUGCAGAUUGAAAGCCCUUCAAUUCAUACAGCUCAAUGGAUUCAGAAAGUGCUGUUAAUGUGCUGCUUAAUGCCACAUUUUUUGGUUACAUAGUCUACUUGUGGCAAUAUCACAUUUUUCUUUCUUUUGCGGAGGCGCUUCACUACGUCUGGGACUUGGACUUGGAAGUCUUUGUUGACUACUAUGUUCGGACUACUAUGAAACGAAAUUUCAGGAAACGCCUGACAAACACCGCAACAAGACUUUGAUAAGUGCUGGAAUGUUUCGUCAGACAUCCCUGUCAAUGGAAUAAUUAUCGAAUCCUCCUCCAUCAUCAUCGAACUGAAGUACUUGGUCAAUCCAUCCAAUAUUGCUGUAGCGAUUAAAAAUUAAAAAAAAGAGAAAAAUCGUAC